Molecule: ribosomal RNA, 397 nt
Filed under: uncultured bacterium
Lineage: Bacteria
Description: partial 16S ribosomal RNA
Rfam family: Bacterial small subunit ribosomal RNA
Source: RNAcentral
AAUAUUGGACAAUGGGCGCAAGCCUGAUCCAGCCAUGCCGCGUGAGCGAAGAAGGCCUUCGGGUCGUAAAGCUCUGUCCUAAGGGAAGAAACGGACGGUACCUUAGGAGGAAGCCCCGGCUAACUCCGUGCCAGCAGCCGCGGUAAUACGGAGGAUCCAAGCGUUAUCCGGAAUCAUUGGGUUUAAAGGGUCCGUAGGCGGCCUUAUAAGUCAGCGGUGAAAGUUUUUGGCUUAACCAAAAAAUUGCCGUUGAUACUGUAGGGCUUGAAUUUUUGUGAAGUAACUAGAAUAUGUAGUGUAGCGGUGAAAUGCUUAGAUAUUACAUGGAAUACCAAUUGCGAAGGCAGGUUACUAACAAACGAUUGACGCUGAUGGACGAAAGCGUGGGUAGCGAACA